Molecule: long non-coding RNA, 586 nt
Organism: Pogoniulus pusillus (Red-fronted tinkerbird)
Lineage: Eukaryota; Metazoa; Chordata; Aves; Piciformes; Lybiidae
Exons: 5
Source: RefSeq, a predicted model, not a curated record
AUGGGUGGAGGAGGCUGGGCUAGGGCAGAAGGGAAUAGACUGAGGGGCAGGUGCUGGGGAGGAGGUGUGGGGUGAUGCUGUGCUCUGAGGCUGCUGGAUCUGCUCAGGGGAUCCAUGUCCCUGCUCCUCUGUGUGCUGUGUUGGAUUCCUUGCUGAGUGUCCUGAAGCUCUUUUGCUGCUGAUUUCAGACUGAUCUCAAUGCUGGAGAACUCUCAGGACCUCUCCACACUGGAAGAAUAAGGGUGGUCCAAUCCCCCACUACCACCAGGUGCCUCUGAAACACCUGAAGAUGUGUUCUUCCUUGGCAGACCUAUGGCAAACUGAGUGGGAAGCUGUGACCAGGACAUCCCUGAUCCACCCACUCUGCAGCCCAGGGAGGAAGGACCAGAUGCCAAGCAGCUUGUCAGGCUUCCUCAGCUCAUGCAGCAAGUGAAGACCAGAAGGAGAGACACCUUGGAGCCUUUGGGUGGCAUCACUGCCCACCCAUUCUCCUCUCACCUGUCCUGGAACCCACCUGGAGGAAUCUUGGCUCUGGAAGGCUGAGUGGCAGCCUGAAAGCUGAGAAGUCACCUGGGAGAGAUCUGAA